CUACUACCCAUAACGCCAUGCCCUCUAGCGUGUAGAGGGCCUCUUUCACCAAUCUCGAUUAGAGCUAACCGAGAGGUUAGUCCAUUGGAAUUGACCAAUCGCAUUGUCUAUGACAAAUGCGACUGGUCAAUUCCAAUGGAACCAGCCCAGAACAGCAUAGAUACGUUGGAAUAGCAGAUUUAAGCCUAUUGCACAAUGACCUAGUUUACAUCGUUAAAACUUUGGUACUCGUAUUAAGUUUGGUGCGCACCAAUGCUUUAAUACAGGCUCGUUUACAUCGAACGUACUAACGUUUCUUACAAUUCGUAUGUACUUGACCGAAGCAAAGUUCCGGAUAAAGAAAUGACUAUUUUAAAUCGUUUGUAUUUCGUUUGAAGAGUUAUGAAGUGCAUUUGAAAAGGUUUCUUACACGACAUUUUUUAAUAUGUUAUCGUUUGAGAGAGACCAAAUAAGAUUACUUAUCAUAAGACCGGUCAAUUAAGGUUAUAUUUAAUAGACCUAAUCCGCUACAAAAUACGUUUCAGUGUUUACAUCGUUAUUUGUAUUAUUUGGUACGCGUAUCAGUUUGGUACGAUAUUCUUGCUUAAUACGUUCGUACCAAUUUGAUCCGGCAUCGUUUACAUUAAUAUGACCGCAGACUCAUGACGAUUUCAAGUUCAGCACGAUCCAUCCCAAUCAAUACAAUUUAUAACUGCUAUAAUUUGGGGAAUCAGCUCGAUGCAUGGGUAAAGAUGCUAAAAUUGGAAGUAAUUUUUAUAUUUCUUAUAUUUUAUUUUAUUAAUAUAUUUGCACGAUAUUUGUAGUUUUUAACUUUUUAUUAAUAAAGGUAUAUGAUUUUUAUUAUUAUAGAAAUGCAUCCAUGUGUGUGUAUGUGUAUAUAUAUAUAUAGUUUUAAAAAAUAUAUAAAGAUGUAAUUUUUACUUUUCACCACUAAAUUUGUAUUAAAAUUCAUUAAAUUUACAGAAUUGAAGCCAUCUUUAUUGAAAAUCUCAUAUCCGCUAAUUUUAUAUCAUAAAAAUAAGUUUUUAUGCUGCAAAAUUAACAUUUAAAUUAUAAAUCCAAAUCAAUAAAACAUUUUUUUAAUAAAAACAUGAUCCUUUAACUUUAAUUUCUUUUAAAUCAAUUCUCUAUGAUUUUUAAUAAAGUUAUGAUUUUUGAAAAAUUAUGCCUGAAUUAUCCAUAACUUUGUUCACAUAUUUGUCAAAAUUACAUAGUUUCACCAAAUGUUACUGCUACUUUUUAAUCAUAUACUAGAAGGUUGAAACUAAAAUUACGAUUAAAAAUCAUUGCAUUACGGUAUUCCUUUUAAUAGAAGCGUAAAACUCGAGUGACUCCAGGAUGGCUAGUGAGGAACAAAAAAUUACGAUGGCUAACAAGUAUUAAAAUAAUUCAAGAGAGGUCAGUUAAUUAUUUCGACAAGACGAAUGACGUAACGAGGAUAAUAAUUACAGUUUUUGUAUUUAUUUGACAUUUUCUCUUUCUCGACUUCACGUAAUAUAAUAUUCAGUAACUUUGUUUAUAUACAAGUCAUCGACCCACAGUGCACAGACUAAACGUACUUUAGCGUUUACUCGGGAAUCGAUUUAUUUACAAAAAUGUGUCUUCAAGUUACGGAACAAUCUUUAAGUUCGCAAAUGCAUCGGAUCUCGUUCGCAAAUAUUUUCCAGUUAAUAAAAGCAGAAAUGUAAUUACUGCAAUUGCGUCUUAUAAAAAGAUCGCGCUAAUGCUUCCUCGCGCAUCUCGAUUAGAAUUUCUUCACUUUGCCUCUGUUCUUCUAUCAAAUAUUGGUUAACAAGCUUCGCCCUCAUCCAAGAAACGUGAAAUUAAAUUGAAAUGCAAUGUUGUUAAAACAUAGCAAUCCUUUUGUCUCAAAAGAGUAGAAAUCGCUACCACCAAGUCAACAAAUGUUACAUUCAAAAACGCGGAAUUUCGAAGAACGUCCAAAGAAAUUUCGAUUUCAAUACUAGAAAGACCGGCUUUUGGCUUUAACCAUUUCCGGAUAAUUUAAAGAUAAACAUUAAACAUAAAAAAAAUAGAAAUAAAAAUAAAAUUGCAAGUCAAAACGAAUGUAAAAUAACAAA
Molecule: long non-coding RNA, 2081 nt
Organism: Solenopsis invicta (red fire ant)
Lineage: Eukaryota; Metazoa; Arthropoda; Insecta; Hymenoptera; Formicidae
Exons: 2
Source: RefSeq, a predicted model, not a curated record